RNAcentral lists this ribosomal RNA (954 nucleotides) under Salmonella enterica subsp. enterica serovar Dublin. RNAcentral's name for it is "partial 23S ribosomal RNA". It matches the Rfam family "Bacterial large subunit ribosomal RNA", at positions 402 to 1224 of the family's 2925-position model. Lineage: Bacteria; Pseudomonadati; Pseudomonadota; Gammaproteobacteria; Enterobacterales; Enterobacteriaceae. The record is from RNAcentral.
AGCUCGAUGAGUAGGGCGGGACACGUGGUAUCCUGUCUGAAUAUGGGGGGACCAUCCUCCAAGGCUAAAUACUCCUGACUGACCGAUAGUGAACCAGUACCGUGAGGGAAAGGCGAAAAGAACCCCGGCGAGGGGAGUGAAAAAGAACCUGAAACCGUGUACGUACAAGCAGUGGGAGCCCCACCACUAAGCCAGUGGUGAACUCCACAUACGCAUCCUUUGCUGAGGAUACGGUUAACGGAGCGAAAGCGACGUUCAACCGCAAAAGAAGCAGAGGGGGCUUAGUGGUGGGGUGACUGCGUACCUUUUGUAUAAUGGGUCAGCGACUUAUAUUCUGUAGCAAGGUUAACCGAAUAGGGGAGCCGGAGGGAAACCGAGUCUUAACCGGGCGUUAAGUUGCAGGGUAUAGACCCGAAACCCGGUGAUCUAGCCAUGGGCAGGUUGAAGGUUGGGUAACACUAACUGGAGGACCGAACCGACUAAUGUUGAAAAAUUAGCGGAUGACCUGUGGCUGGGGGUGAAAGGCCAAUCAAACCGGGAGAUAGCUGGUUCUCCCCGAAAGCUAUUUAGGUAGCGCCUCGUGAAUUCAUCUCCGGGGGUAGAGCACUGUUUCGGCUAGGGGGCCAUCCCGGCUUACCAACCCGAUGCAAACUGCGAAUACCGGAGAAUGUUAUCACGGGAGACACACGGCGGGUGCUAACGUCCGUCGUGAAGAGGGAAACAACCCAGACCGCCAGCUAAGGUCCCAAAGUCAUGGUUAAGUGGGAAACGAUGUGGGAAGGCCCAGACAGCCAGGAUGUUGGCUUAGAAGCAGCCAUCAUUUAAAGAAAGCGUAAUAGCUCACUGGUCGAGUCGGCCUGCGCGGAAGAUGUAACGGGGCUAAACCAUGCACCGAAGCUGCGGCAGCGAACGUAUCACUUAAAGCGAUUCAGCGGGUUACGAUUGACGGAGCGA